Molecule: ribosomal RNA, 224 nt
Filed under: uncultured bacterium
Lineage: Bacteria
Description: partial 16S ribosomal RNA
Rfam family: Bacterial small subunit ribosomal RNA
Source: RNAcentral
GAUCAUGGCUCAGGAUGAACGCUAGCUACAGGCUUAACACAUGCAAGUCGAGGGGCANCAUGGUCUUAGCUUGCUAAGGCCGAUGGCGACCGGCGCACGGGUGAGUAACACGUAUCCAACCUGCCGUCUACUCUUGGACAGCCUUCUGAAAGGAAGAUUAAUACAAGAUGGCAUCAUGAGUCCGCAUGUUCACAUGAUUAAAGGUAUCCUGGUAGACGAUGGGG